AGAUUUUGACGAUGCCCGUUCUAUAACGAUAACUUUUGAAACGGUACCUGAAUCUGUAGCCUAGUCUAGGCCUACCUUCUUUAAAAUGACGAGCAGACAGAACUUUAAAAAAAAAAUUUAUUGCAAAGGCAUUUCCCAUUGUUCGUAUCCUUUUGGGUUAAAUACAGCCACUUCUAGUUAGUGCCGCUUCUGGUAUUUUGCCCGAGUUUAACGCCAGCUAGCUUUCUAACGGUACCUGCGGUCAGAGACGGAGUCGAUAAAAACGAGUGUAACGUUAGUGAAUAUAGCAACGAAAUUCUCCACCGAAAUCCUGGUCCUGCAGGUACCAGUUGUAUGCAAACCGGUGCCACAGUGCUACUGGAACAACCGAACUGUAUCAUUGACUGGAACCACUGUCUCGGACUACAUGACUACAAGGAACGAGUGCUUUCACCCCAGUAACGGCACCUAGAUAAACAUUAACAGCCUGUCCGUCUGCAAAGCACGAGGGGGCUUCCUGAACAAAACAGGACAUAAAAAAGGAGGCAAAUGCUUCCGGGUUCGGGGGAACGUCAGCUCGGGACAGACAGGUGGACGCGUCCGCAGCUGGGGACCCGUCUCCUGAUCACGCCGUAGACUAAAGCGGGACAGGUGCCACCCUCGCCCUCCCCGCUUUCCGGGAACAACAACAACAUGGGGUGGCCCGGACCUGGGGGGGGAGGAGAGCGAGAGGAAAACAAGAGAAGAACAAGAAGCGGGUUAUUUAAUUUAUGUGGAAAGCGAGCAAGAGUGGCAGUGAUACAUGAGUUUGUUAGUCAAUUGAUAAAGGAGAGGAAAUUUUUAAAAAACAUUCAUCACCAAAGGAUAUAGGCACCAUAUAUCACCUAUUUGCAAACAACAGGCUAAUAUUCAUCCCGGGAAUGAUUCAGUGACCCGCUCGGAUCCACAGGCAGGGUCGGCUCUGACCUAAUUAAUGG
Molecule: long non-coding RNA, 956 nt
Organism: Anguilla rostrata (American eel)
Lineage: Eukaryota; Metazoa; Chordata; Actinopteri; Anguilliformes; Anguillidae
Exons: 4
Source: RefSeq, a predicted model, not a curated record